Cavia porcellus (domestic guinea pig) is the source of this 7040-nucleotide long non-coding RNA. RefSeq lists it as uncharacterized. NCBI's taxonomy places the organism in Eukaryota, Metazoa, Chordata, Mammalia, Rodentia, Caviidae. The transcript is spliced from 2 exons. The record is from RefSeq and is a predicted model, not a curated record.
UGUAGGCGUAUUAUGUGCGCAUAUGAGGGAGAGGCGGGAGACAGCAGCGGGGCGGUCGCACCGCUCCCUACAGAAGGGGUCUGUUUUACAUGCUGAGUCUGAGCCAGACCCCAGCCCUAGACUUGCUCCCUGCUGCUCAGCUGCAGGUGUUCUGUCCUCUGGCCAGAGACUGGAAGUGUUCUCUAUGAAAUCUGACCAACCCAAGAGAAGCAACCUACAACAUGGACACCAGGUGGCACCCAACGAACAGGAUAACCAGAGUGGGCCCUGGGAGCUACACUUGGAGUCUGAGGGACGAGACCGCAACCUCGGAAGCCUGGGAGCUGGGCAGCAGAGCAGCAGGAGAGCCAGGCGCCAGCUCCCCGGACUACAGGAACAGCAGACAAUUGUCUUUCCCCAGCUGGGAAGAGCACCGACCUCAUACUCCUGGCCUGUAGGUGCAGAUCCAUAGCUGGUGCAGACCCCUAUUGCUGCCUCUCACAGACAGCCCUCUCGCCCCAUCAGAAGGGUCUCUAGUGCCCUCUGCAGGUGGCUGCCCUUUCCUGGGCUGUGCCAUGCUGGAGCUAAAUACAGACUUUCAGUAGCAGAAAAUCUGGAAACCCAGGAAGGGGGAUGCAAACUCCAAUGAAGAAGCUGGAGUUCAGGAAGGGAAGGGGACUCUCUUUUGCAUAAACAGAUAAGUAACAGGGAAUCCCAGACUUCCUCGGGGGGGCAGGCUGUGUGUGUACCCCAAACAUUCCAACCAUGCUGUCUUUACUGAGCCUCAGCUCUCCCUGCCUCCAGUUCUUUGCACAUGCUGUUUCUCUGCCAUGCGUGUCCCUUGGCCUUGGCUGCAGCCACACUUGGCAAGACCCUUAUCUUCCCUCUAAACCCAAGGAGGACAACAGCACCCCCUCAUCGGCCCCUACACACACCACCUGGGAACUACGUAGCUCUGCAAGGCUCCGUGGACACCUUGUCUCAUUUUCCCACAGGUCUGUGAGCUCUGCUGGGUCUGGGACAGGCCAUGCUAAUUUCUGUACAUGAUCCCUUUGCAACCCCAACCUUAGCACUAGGAUCUGUGUCCUGAGCAAGUCAUCAGCCUCUUUUCUUCUGUCUUGUCUUACGCAGUGUGAGAGUAGUAGUGAAGGUUGGCAUUAACAGGAAACCACUGAGGCAUAAGGACAACAAGAAGGGUCGGGGGGUCGAAGAGCCCUAAGAAAGAGAGUGGGGACUGCAGAACUUCCCCUCAAGAGGGAAGUAGGAUCUGAGAGGGUCCUAAGGACAUCUGCAUGGACUAGCUGAGCCCCAAGAGGGUAAGAGAGGGCUGGUGAACCCCAAGGGGGUCAGAGCAUGUUGGGAAGUUCUCUGGAGGUGGGGAAAGCACUGAGCCAGGCCCUAAAGAAGGAAGACAACCUUUCAAGAUGAUCCACAGGGAAGGAGGAAUGUGUCUGGAGGAGAGUGAGGAGAACAGCUGCACACAGUGUUCAGGGAAGAGGACAGGAAGGAAGCUGAAGCAUGAGUCAGAGAUGAACCCAGCAGGGACAGGUGGAUGGGUGGCCCGGAGGUAGGUGGCCCAUAAUGGUCAGCACUGAGCAGGCAGUUGUGAGCUCCUGGCUCAAUCACAGGCAGCUUCUCUGAGACCAUCGAGUUUCUGAGGACACAUGCAGUUUUCAGGAAGUGGACCAAGCACCUGUCCCCACCCCACCUGGCAGAAGCCAAAGGAGAAGAGUGCAUACUUUGAAUGGCUGGACCAGAACCCAAAGGGGAAAGUGAGCAUCCAGCUCCCAAGAUCCUUGAAGCUGAGCAUCCUGGAAACUUCUAGAAGAUAUCCAAGGCUCACCCAGUUCUCCAAAUUUGGCUUGUGUAGAAGACACCAGAAAGCAACCUGAGUUCCUGAGACUUCUGAUCACAGCAGGAACCUAGGCAAAGAUGGGAGGGCUUCCUCCUGAGGCAGCUGGAAAAUGCCAGGCCAACUCCACAGUGUACGGAAGCCUCCAUCUGCUGUGUGUUUUGAAUGCCAACUCAAGGGUCAGUACAGAUCACCAUGGCUCAGACUGUAUGCACUAGAGGAAGGGUUGAGCAAGGGACAUGGAGGGAAAGAUGUCCCCAGAACCCUUGGCUUGUGUGGCUUUGAAAUCCAGGACACUGCGGCCAGCUUGCUCUCUCAGGAGACAGUAGCCAGUUCCCAGCCACGACUCAUGUUGGGAUGGGUGAGAGACAGAAGCAGACUGAGGCUCCCAGGGUGCUCACUGAAUAAGGGAAUGAGGGCUGGGCGCAAGGAAAGACAGUACCCAGUUGUUCCCCAGUGGCAGGACCAGGAGCUGGGAGAGAGAAAGUACAUGUGUAUGUGCAAGGCAGAGAGGGGAAGGAGAGCGCUCUGUCUCUGUGGGGUGUGGAAGCGCAGGCAGGGUGGGGGAAGAGGUCCUCCUGCAGUCUAGCACACAGUGGGAAACUGGUCUAGAGGAGAUUACUUCCUGACUUCGUUUCAAGCUUGGGUACCGGAACCCUGUGCCAGAAUUAGGGGUGGGAUGUGGAGUCUGGGUACUUCUGGAAGGGGCAUAUCCAGAUCAAUACCAAGAGAGAAGACAGGCACCCAGCUCGCCAGAAGAGCCAGCCUGGUCUGCAGAAGCUGAUAGGGGCUGGGGUGGGCAUGGCUGUCCCGGGCCAUGCAGAAUGUAGAGGGUUGGGACUGAGGGGUCAAAAGCCCCCCAAAAUGGUACAGAAGUCUGUGCACCAGUGUGGUGGGCAGAAGCAGUGGACCAGGGCUGCAGGGAUGAUGGAUCAGAAUAAACUAGGCCACCUCUAGUGCCUCCUGGGACGGGGUAGAGCAGAGCCAGGAGUGAAAGAGGGCAAGAUUCCUCUCUGAGGCUUUGGUGGGGUGGAGCACAUUCAUGGGAAGGGAGAUUUUCUGGGUGGGAGCAGGGAAUCAGAGCCUGGUGGGUAGGUAAGAAGGCUGCUAGACGUUCCCAGCAGAAAAUCACUCAGGGAAUCAUUAAUGGUGGCUGAAGCUGCCCUUCCUUCUGCAGAGCUCAGCCUGGUUAGGACUCGAUGGGUGCAGAGCUGUAGGCAAAGAAGUUCCUGGAAUUGAAUGAGAAAUCUGUUUUCCCCUAUCAUUAGACUGGGAGUUGACCACCGAUGCAUUGGAAAGCCAGAAGUGUGUUUUUCCUUUGUAAUGGUAACUUCUGGAUCUGAGAAAGAUGUUGGCUGUCAGGUCUGCAGACCAGAAAAUAACUGCUCUGCCUCUCCCCUGGAGUUACAGUGCUCAUUUCAAACCUUGAAAGACAUAACUGCUUGUUUUCUUUCAGAACCAUACAGCAGGAAAGCUUUUCUAUUUGGCAGGAAGGGCAGCUUGCUUCUGGAAAUCCAUCAGACAGCCGUUAGGCCGUUAGGCACUCAGCCAUGUAACACCCUCAUUCCUGCACCACGCGGUGGGCAUGGAAAUGGAAUGGAAAGGCAAUGGGAAUGGGAAGGAGCUGGGUGCCCCAGUAUCCUCUGGAAGAAGGCACCAUGGGUAGAACCUGCCCUGCCCUGUGCUUCCCAGGGCCAGCAAGAGAAAGGAGUACAAACUCAGACAGGUCCUUGAAGAUCCAAUCAUCCAGUUCAUAGAUUGGAAGACUGAAGCUCAGAGAGAGAAGGAGCAGCUGAGGGUCAAAGUAAGGUAGUGACCAUGCACAGUGGAGCCUUGGCCAACAGUUAGGAAACCUGGCUUCUGACCCAAGGAAGCUUGUGUGAGCUGAGCAGCUGAGACCGUUCACCUGCCCUCCUUGGGUACAUGGUCCAAGGAAGGUGCCUUUCCUUUAGCCCCAUCUCCUGAGGAGGACAUCUUAGUCCUCAUUUCCAUUUUUGGUCAGGAAAGUACUGUGGGUUAUCCAAGUUGUGCCACCAUGGCCAUGCAAAGUGGUAAAUAGUCGGUGUUGAAGGCUUCAGUGCUGUGGUCAGAAGUGCUGGGUACUUUCCUAUCUCAGUUUCCCAGCCUAUGGCAAGGAAAGAAAGUAGGCAGGAAGCUAAAACUAAGGAUUCUGGGCUUCAUCAGAAGUCAAGUGUCCAAUUAGAGGCAAAUGUGCAGCUGUCUACCUGGGCUGGCUCCUACAAAUGCUUCUGGCCUUAACAUUUGCUGCUUCUCACUACUGUCCUGAGACUGCAUCUCUGCUCCUUGCUUUACUUGCUUCUCAGCUCCCCUCUCUUCAGGGAGGAGGGGCCAGGGUUCCUCUGCAGAGAUGGGCUCACCUCUCCCCUCAGCCAUGUGGUUCACAAAUAGAAGCACACAACAUUGCGUUUUGUACUCUGCUAAUGAUUGAGUUACUUGGAAAUCUUGUCCACAUCUUCCAUGGGGACAGAGACAGUCUAUGUGUGAUGCUCAAUCCCUAGUUCUAGCACAGCACCCAGCACAUACUAGGUAUUUAACAAAAGUUGCAAAAUAAUUAAAUUUAUUAGCAUAUUGCAGAUGCAUGAGCUGAGGCUCAGAGAAUUUAAGAAUUUUCCCUAUGAUCACAUAGUAAGCAAGGGAUAGCCUCAUUUUCCCUCUGAGUUGUGCAUGUUUGCCAAGUAUAGGAGACUGAGUGAGGACAUGUGGCCCAUGUGAUUUGUAUAUACAGCAGUCUGUGCACCAAAGAGAAAGGACCAGCAAAGCAUCUCCUGAAGUGUACAUUCUCCAUGGACAGACAGACAGGCAGGCAGGCGGCAUGCAUCUGUAAGCUUUGAUCAGAGGCAUGUCCAGUGUUGAGUGAGAAUUAUACUGAGAUUCGGGCAGGUGAUAUAUGGCCUCACCCUGGUACACAGGGGACUCUCAGUGACAGGCAAUUUCCAUUCCUAAACUGCUCUAGAUCUGCAGAAGGAAGAUCUUUCUUCCAUUCCACUUCCAAGACCUCUCGCUGCCACUGCCGUGGUGAGAAGAGGGACCUUUCAGGAACCAGUCCUGUGUGGUGUCAGCACAGAUCCUUGCAGCGGGGCUAUUUGAAGACCCAGGCUGCCCGCAGCACCUCCCCACCUGCCCGCUGUGAGACAACCUGGCUCCCAGAAUGCUCUGUUGCUUUCCUAGAUGCCCCUCCCCCACUUACCCCUCUCUCCCAUUUACUUUCCUCCAGCUGGUCUCAACAGUCCCUCAACGCUAGACUCUCUCCUAGGCACUGUGGAGCCUGGGUCCAGCCCAAGACUGUCCAGCAGUACUCCAUUCCGUGCAGUCAUUCACGAAACCGCUAUUUCAUGUGCACCUACUGCUUACAGACCACGAGAAGGGAGAAACAAACAGAUAACUCCCUGUGCUCUGUAUGAGACUUCAUUUUUUACAUUGAGAAAAAGACACCCAUAAAAGAAAAUCAAAGGAAAAAGUGAGGAUGUCUAUCAGAAGGCAGAAAGUUAGGGAAUAUAAAGCAGGACACAGGGUGGCUGUGAGUGAAAGUUGAGUUUCUCCAUGUUUAACAGCGUGAGUCUCUACCCAGUACCCAGUAGCAGGGCCCGACAUGAGGACUCAGGCAUGCAAUAGAUUGAAAGAAGCCUUGGGAGAGAGAAAAGGGAGGGAGAGAGGGAGAGAGAGCUAAGCUGGACUGGAGUCCAGCUUUGCCCACCCCUCCUCACAGGAGCUCUGGGGCAUGGAAUAUACAUACUUAGUAUGUAUAUUCCCCAGAAGGCUUUUGUCACACCGGAUCAACCAGGGUCAUCUGACUCCCCAGCCUCUGGUUACAAUUGUACCUCAAAGAUUAUUUCUUUAAUGAGGGACAGACCCUUCUAACCCAUAGCAAAUGACAAGCUACAUAAGAUCCUGAAUGAAUAGAGCACUGCAAUGUAUAAAAAUACAAUAAGCAAGAUAAGCAAAAGGAAGACAUGACAAUAUGGGCAAAACAGGUGACAGAAAAUCACCGGAGCACAGAGUGCUUGCAAGGAACCAAACACAGAACAUCUAUGCAAGAAGCCACCCUAACACUUCAGGAGCCCCCGCCCAUCCAGAGGACACUCAUACGGGCCUAGAUUGUCAUCAAGCUGCCAGGAGGUACCAAAAGGUUGUUCAUGGGGUGGGGUCUUUUCAGAGAGAAUAAGAAAACCUAAAUUACAAACACAGCUUCAGGUGGGAGACGCAUCCUGGGCUAAAGUUGGUUUUGUCUCCAUCCCCAGAAAGGCAGCCCUUUGCCAAGCAAUUAGGGAUCCCAGGAUGGAGGUCAAAUUCUCACAGGAGCUGUGUCUAAUGCAGCCCCAGAUGGUGGGUUGUCUCAACUGCCACAUGUCGGCAUUGGAGGGAAAGUUCCUGGACACCAACUAUCAUUUGCAUAUGGAUGUGUAACUGCCAGUGUGACUGCAGCCAACACAAUGGCUAUUGGCCACUUGGUUCAGUUCUGGUUGUGUCACUGCUCAAUAGGGAGUUAGUGGUGUCAAAGCACCACCACGUUAGUCAUAAUUAAAAUACCAAUUUACUUAGAUUCACAAGAAUCAUAACAACAAAACACACAUCACGACACUGCACUCUGUCAGUCAGCACUUGCCUGUGGCCCACCCACCUGUGGAAGAAAGAAAGGCAGCCAUCCCUCCACCAAGGUCAGGUCCAGGGGCAGAGGUGAGCUGGAUGGGGCCAUGAGCAUCCACUGCACUGUAACAGGGAGGGAGGGCUUCCGAAAUCCAGCCAUGGAGGGACUCAGGCCUCUUAUUCACCUGCCCUCUUGGUAAGCACCUGCAGCAUGGGCCUAGAGGAGAACCAUUAUCUGUGAGCCUACUGCCACACGGGCUGAAAAUCAAGCACCCUUCCCCCAUCUGCCCUGCCUCCAUGGCUACUGGGGAUAGAUAUCUCAGCAUCUCUUGGGAGGAUGACCAUAUGCAGUAUAGCAAAUAUGGGGGAUUUCCAUCUAUCUUCUGUUUGAAGGAAUAGGUUGUUUUUACUGUUUUGUUAUGUUUCUUUUGCUCUAUUAAGUAUUCUCAAUUGGUUUUAUAAUGUUCUAUUUUUGGUUUGAUUUUGAUAUACCUAAUUGACUGGACAACUAUUGUGAAGUUAAAGAGAUACACUACAGUACCUAUUACUACUAUCCCAGUAUCCUACUGUGAAAUCCUGUACCAAUUUCACUGCAUUGUCUCGA